CAAAGAAUAUCUCUGGAUGCUAUUAAAUAUAGAUGUCUGGACUGAACUGAGCUUACACGACAAUUGCAGUCAAGAUUCUGCAACUCAGAAUGGGCAAACCAGGGACAUUUAGCUUUAUGGGAAAAUUGUAUAUGGUCAAGUUUUUAUUAGCCACUCUGAAUAAGAAAGAAGAGAAUGAGAGAAUCAAUAAAGAUUACAGUUUGCAAAGAGAGCAAUUUUGGGAGUGCACUGUAUGAUUUUCCCCCUUUGUGAGAUUUAUCUUUUUAUUCUUGUUUGCUCAGGUUAAUUGGGUUGCACUCCCUGAAUACACAAUAACGGGUGGAGGGGGAGCCUGCUGAGUGGCAGAGGUUAGCUGAUCUGAGGUUAACUAUCUCUACUAAUAAAGGAGAUUGAUUGUUCUCAUAUUUUAGGUUUUUAAACAUAAGAAAUGAAUCGGUGUUUGGUUUUCAGUUUUACUUGAGAUUAGUGGGAUGUAAAGACCUUCCUAUUAAUAUUAAAACACCUUUUUUGGAUUUGACAAACCAAAUAUCCUGUUCUUAUCUUUUUACCUGGUGGCAGUCUGAAUCAGUUCAUCCUGUGAUCCUGUCUGCCCGGAAGCAUCAAAAUAGUGAGGAAGUCUGAUGUGCCUCCGGGUUAAUCCAGCUGCCUGGGUGUAAGUUAUUAUUACUGAUUUAUUAACAACAUUUUAUAUCACUUACUAGGGGCCAGGCACUGUUCUAUACAUUUAAAAGAUACAAAUUGGUUUCAUCCUGUGAGAUAGAUACUAUUAAUUAUCCCUAUAAUACAGUUUAAGAAACUGAGGGACAAGUAAGUUGGCUUUCCCAAAGAUACUGCCAUUUAAUGCUAGCAUGAGGGCUCGAACGGGGAAAACCUAGUUGGAGUUCGUGUGCGUAGACCCUACAUCAUGCUGCUGCUCUUUUAUUUUUUUUAAAUUUUAUCUAUCCAGCCCCUUACAGAGUCGGAAGUCUGAAUGACUGAUGGAAUAAAGCCUUAUCAUGGUAAAGGACUUUCUAAAAGUCUCUAUUUCUUUUCUUUUCUUCAGCUGACAACACCUAAUAGCAAUGUAAGUGAUUCACAAUAUGUAAACAUCUAAACGAACCUAGAUACUAAAACUGCAUGCGACUCUAAAGGGAAAAUAUCUGAGAUGCCAUCUGGAUCUUACAGAGAAAAAUGCUUGACAGUGUAUUCCUGGGGACUAACGUUAAAGAGAUGCUUCACUGACUGUCACAAUCCCUUUUGGAAACCUGUGAUCACAGCUGGUGACAUUCCUGACAUCUUUUAUCUGUUCCCAUACCUUUUCUUUCGGCUAGACGUUACAGAGUGUGGAGUUAGAUGGCCAAUGAAUGUGCUGCAUCAGAAUCAAUAGAUCUCAUUCAGUUUACAGCAGAGGCAAGAGGAAGCCUGAAGUAGGGGCAGGGCGUGAAGGGCAGAGCUCAGGGUUUUCAUGCAGGUCCGGCCCUUGCAGACAUGGUUCAAGCACAACCCACAGACUUUCAUGAAACACUCAGUCUCCAAAAUGUGUGUAGGAAGGGCCUGAGAGGACUGCUGCAAAUACGUUAUUGUUCCCAGACGUAUCUAAGGGCAGCUAAAGUCAUAACAUUUAUGGUGAUAUUGCUUAAAUUACAUUUUCUAAUAUCUCACUCAUACAUGUAUUACCUAUAUUAUUAUACUAUUAAUUACACCUUCAUUGAUUUUUAAAAUUUUAUUCUGUUAAGAUUAGAUGAGGAUGCAUUUUCUAAAAACUACAGGAUUACCCAAACAGAACAGAUUGCAUUUCAAGGUUAGGAAGUUUUUCUAAUAAUAAUUUAUGGCCCAAGUAUAAUGUGAUGAAGUGUGUCGUAGGUACCAACCUGAGACUAUGUUUGCCAAGACUUGAAUAAAAAAUGGGGGAAAUGAUUUCUAGCCCUUGUUAGAAAUGCCCUCAGAAUGCUUUUUAUUUCUAAAGAAUGCUGCAUUGUAUAUGUGCAGGUAUUUUUCAGCCAAACGGUUUAAUUUGUAGAGAUUUUAUAUCACGUAAGAUUUGUUUCCUAUGCAUUUUCUUCCAAAACUAUAAAAAGACUAGGUUCUACCUUAAUUUCUAAGAAAAAUGUUAUAAACCUUUAUUAUGAUGGUACAAUAUAUCAAACAAUGUAAUUUUUACAUUUUCACCUUUGAGAGUUAUUUUUCCCCAAGCUUCUGCCUUUUUUUUUGAGUAUUUGCAAAGCUCUGCAAAUGACAGGCGCAUCCACAAUGCAAAGAAUAAUCUUUCUUUGGGGCUGUUCCUGGGGUAGUGAUUAGUGGCGUCUUCACUGAAUAUUUAACUUCCUCAGAAUUGCUUAUCUGUGCUGUGGAUCAGUGCAAGAUCUGGGUGAACUGUCGCUACUCUACAUAAUUAAGUUUUCCUUGCCAAAAAAAGAGAAAGU
This is a long non-coding RNA of Cebus imitator (Panamanian white-faced capuchin), 2402 nucleotides long. RefSeq lists it as uncharacterized. The transcript is spliced from 3 exons. Lineage: Eukaryota; Metazoa; Chordata; Mammalia; Primates; Cebidae. The record is from RefSeq and is a predicted model, not a curated record.